RNAcentral lists this ribosomal RNA (419 nucleotides) under uncultured bacterium. Its description in RNAcentral is "bacterial SSU rRNA". It matches the Rfam family "Bacterial small subunit ribosomal RNA", at positions 355 to 787 of the family's 1533-position model. The record is from RNAcentral.
UGGGGAAUAUUGCACAAUGGGGGAAACCCUGAUGCAGCAACGCCGCGUGAAGGAUGAAGGUUUUCGGAUCGUAAACUUCUAUCAACAGGGACGAAACAAAUGACAGUACCUGAAUAAGAAGCCCCGGCUAACUACGUGCCAGCAGCCGCGGUAAUACGUAGGGGGCAAGCGUUAUCCGGAAUUACUGGGUGUAAAGGGAGCGUAGGCGGCACGUCAAGCCAGAUGUGAAAGCCCGGGGCUUAACCCCGUGGAUUGCAUUUGGAACUGGCGAGCUAGAGUACAGGAGAGGAAAGCGGAAUUCCUAGUGUAGCGGUGAAAUGCGUAGAUAUUAGGAAGAACACCAGUGGCGAAGGCGGCUUUCCGGACUGAAACUGACGCUGAGGCUCGAAAGCGUGGGGAGCAAACAGGAUUAGAUACCC